This 469-nucleotide ribosomal RNA is filed under the name uncultured bacterium. Its description in RNAcentral is "partial 16S ribosomal RNA". It matches the Rfam family "Bacterial small subunit ribosomal RNA", at positions 28 to 507 of the family's 1533-position model. The record is from RNAcentral.
GACGAACGCUGGCGGCGUGCUUAACACAUGCAAGUCGAACGGAAAGGCCCUGCUUGCAGGGUGCUCGAGUGGCGAACGGGUGAGUAACACGUGGGUGAUCUGCCCCUUACUUUGGGAUAAGCCUGGGAAACUGGGUCUAAUACUGGAUAGGACCAUGCUGUAGGCGGUGUGGUGGAAAGAUUAGUUUCGGUAAGGGAUGAGCUCGCGGCCUAUCAGCUUGUUGGUGGGGUAAUGGCCUACCAAGGCGUCGACGGGUAGCCGGCCUGAGAGGGUGGACGGCCGCAUUGGGACUGAGAUGCGACCCAGACGCCUACGGGAGGCAGCAGUGGGGAAUAUUGCACAAUGGGCGCAGGCCUGAUGCAGCGACGCCGCGUGGGGGAUGACGGCCGUCGGGUUGUAAACUCCUUUCAGCCAUGACGAAGCCCUUGUGGUGACGGUAGUGGGAGAAGAAGCACCGGCUAACUACGUG